CCUACGGGAGGCAGCAGUGAGGAAUAUUGGUCAAUGGGCGGGAGACUGAACCAGCCAAGUCGCGUGAGGGAUGAAGGUUCUGUGGAUCGUAAACCUCUUUUGUCAGGGAAUAAAGACUGGGACGUGUCCCGUGUUGUAUGUACCUGAUGAAUAAGGAUCGGCUAACUCCGUGCCAGCAGCCGCGGUAAUACGGAGGAUGCGAGCGUUAUCCGGAUUUAUUGGGUUUAAAGGGUGCGUAGGCGGCCUUUUAAGUCAGCGGUGAAAGUCUGGGGCUCAACCCUAGACUUGCCGUUGAAACUGGGAGGCUUGAGUAGGUGUGAGGUAUGCGGAAUGCGGGGUGGAGCGGUGAAAUGCUUAGAUAUCACGCAGAACCCCGAUUGCGAAGGCAGCAUGCCAAGCCAUCACUGACGCUGAUGCACGAAAGCGUGGGGAUCAAACAGGAUUAGAUACCCGGGUAGUC
This 460-nucleotide ribosomal RNA is filed under the name uncultured bacterium. RNAcentral's name for it is "partial 16S ribosomal RNA". It matches the Rfam family "Bacterial small subunit ribosomal RNA", at positions 338 to 795 of the family's 1533-position model. The record is from RNAcentral.